Molecule: long non-coding RNA, 4200 nt
Filed under: Pelobates cultripes (western spadefoot toad)
Lineage: Eukaryota; Metazoa; Chordata; Amphibia; Anura; Pelobatidae
Source: RNAcentral
GUAGGCUCUAUCUAUGGGAAUGUUUAGAGAACAGAACUUGGAGGAUUCUAGGUUCCAAUAGACAGAAUUUUAAGGUACACUUCGGGAUAGACUUGUUGCUAAAUGUGUAUUGACAUUACAUAGAGAAUAUUAGGCGCUUAUAAUAGACAGUGCAUGGACAUGUCUGCCAUGAGCCCUUCACACUACUGGACUCAGUGCUGGAAGGAGUAACUGAAUGGGUUAUAUUGCUAUAUAGUAUAUCUCCUGUGUCAGGGUGAAAUACAGCAUUUGUGAUUUACUCCAAUCUAGAGGGGAUAGGAGAUCCUGGGGGCUUGUACUGUUUGGAGGUGAAUCUUUAGGGUUUAUUUACUAAACACUUGUAGUGAAUUAAAAGUGUAUUGCAAUUUCAAGAAAAAUGUGGUGAUAUUCAGGAAUUCUUCAACUUGACUGAAGGUACAGUUUGUAACUAAUGAAAUUUUGCAGCAUGGUUUUCUGUUAACUUCAAUUUGCUAUUUACCAAAUAAACCUUCCAGAUAUUCUGUUUUGCUGACACUGGAGUUCUGCAAUGUGAUGUUUUCUUGUUAGGGGUGAUGUGGAGAUAUUUUAAUGUGCGAUUGUAUUAAAAGCUUAAAUACGUAAUUGAAAUAUGAAUGGUUUCAUUAGUUUACAAAUGUUAAAGGACCACUAUAGUGCCAGGAAAACAUACUCGUUUUCCUGGCACUACAGUGCCCUGAGGGUGCCCACACCCUCAGGGUCCCCCUCCCGCCAGGCUCUGGGGAGAGGAAGAGGUUAAAAUCUUACCUUUCUCCAGCGCCGGGCGGGGAGCUCUCCUCCUCCUCUUCUCCUUCAUAGAGACGUCAUCGGCUGAAUGUGCAUUUACAAUGCUUUCCUAUGGACGCUGGCGUCUUCUCACUGUGAUUUUCACAGUGAGAAGCACCCAAGCGCCUCUAGCGGCUGUCAAUGUGACAGCCACUAGAGGCUCUAGAGGCUGGAUUAACCCUAUUAUAAACAUAGCAUUUUCUCUGAAACUGCUAUGUUUAUAUAAAAAAAAAAGGGGUUAACCGUAGCUGGACCUGGCACCCAGACCACUUCAUUAACCCCUUAAGGACACAACUUCUGAAAUAAAAAGGAAUCACGACGGAAUAUUUCGGUUAUGUGUCCUUAAGGGGUUAAGCUGAAGUGGUCUGGGUGCCUAUAGUGGUACUUUAAGCCCUUAAGGACCAAACUUCUGGAAUAAAAGGGAAUCAUGACAUGUCACACAUGUCAUGUGUCCUUAAGGGGUUAAAGUAUAUGUGUCACCAUACACAUAGAGUACGUUCUGCUUCAAUAGAGGUGAUUAUGCUAAAUAUCUUAUAGGUUUGAAAUGCCUUAAAGAAGCGCUUUCCCGUCCCAGGAGUCUUAAAGAAAAAAUAUUUAUUUCUCAAUGGACACAAUAGAAUUAAGAAUAUAAACAUGUAUUCCUAUUGCUAUAGUGCGCUAUGUAGAUCAGAGCCCCCCUAAAUUGCAAUAAAAAAAGUUUUUUCCAGCGCUGAGACUCCCUUGGUGCUUAAGGCAUCACUCGCUUGGCAAUGGUCCAAUGCUCAUUGUAGAGGAAUAUUUUGGGACUUGAUGCUCUUUCACAGCCAUAUAAUUCAUUGUCUUCCUGCAUUUGAUGGCUUUCGAUGUCCUCAUGGAUGUUGAAUGUCACAUGAACAAAUUUUAUUCUGUUGUUUUCUACAAAACCUCAAUGUUUUACAUUGUUUCUUGUGUUUAGAUUAACGGGCCCUCUUUGUUUUACAUAAAUAAAAGUAAAAUAAAUGCCAUAGAAUUUACCUCUAAUCCAACGCUGGGACAUCUCCUCUGCCACCGAUGAAGUAAUCUGUUCUGAUAAAAAAAAUUUAAUCUGGUGCUCCUAAUAGAGAAACAUUGAGGACAUAUGUCGCAAUAUAUGGCAAUUCUGUAUGAGAAGCAUCGGACAUCAUCGUCAUGUUAACUUAAAGACCUUUAAAAAUCAAAGUUUUUCAAUGAGAAGGUUCUUUUAGUGGUUUAGGCAAAAUGUAAACAUGCAAUUUCUGACACAAAAGGCAGCAUUCAUUUACCAAACCUACUACAUUAAGAUGUUCUGAGAGUGUCAUUUUCAUAUGUUUAUAUAUCUGCUAUAUUUAAAGGGACACUUUAGGCACCCAGACUACUUCAGCUCAUUGAAGAGGUCUGGGUGCAUAGUCCCAGGUCCCUUAACCCUACAGUGGAAAUUAUUGCAGUUUCUGAGAAACAGUGGAACCUCAACCAGCGCCAAGGGACCUUAGUGCUACAAUCAGGUAAGUCACAGAAGUUUUUUUUUUUAACCUUUUCUGCACCACGAGAGGCGUGCACUAUAGGGAACUCAGUUUUCCUGGCACUAAAGUUUCCCUUUAAAGGAACACACCAAGCACCAUGACCACUACAGCUCGCUGUACCUAUUAUAUUUAACGGAGCACUCAAAGCAACAUAAACAUUGUUACUUGCCUGUAGUACCCCAAGCGCUGCUCUCUGCCUCCACCACCAAUGACAGAGAGCCAGAAUCUCCUAAGCAGUGGCUUCCAUUAGCUCUUCCAUUAGCUCAAAGAGAUAAUGCCAGUGCUUAGCUAAUUGGCUGAUAGAGAAAAUAACUGAAGCUAUAGAAGGCAUUCUGGUGACAUGCAGCUACAGGUAAACCAUAACAGGGAUGUGUCAGCAGAGGACAUAGACCCAGAGCUUACCUGGGUUCUACCAGGGCUCCUGCUCUACAUCUGGUCUUUUCGUGUGGCUGAGUGUGUCAGCUGAACUCUUACCUAAUAAAUGAGUAGCUGCAUUGAACAAGCUUACAUCCUGUUUCACUAGUUUUAAGAAGAUCCAGAUGCCAGGAUCUAAGCAAGUGCUAUAUCUUCCUAAAACAGUUUGACAGAUUAGGCUGGGAUAGUUCCAGGACACUCUGCACCCUAACCACAACAUCAUGCUAUAGUAGUUAUGGUGCUUGAAGUGUUCCUUUAAUUAUAUGCUUUCCAAUAUCAUAGGAUUAUUAUUUGCAAUAAGAAGGUAGUGCUGCUAUGUAAAACAUGCUAUUGUGAGCAGAACCUGAUGAAUAUUUGUGCCAGUUCCUACCAGCUUUUGGAUCCUUGCCCCAGGAUUUUUUUAAAGGAACACUGUAGGCAGCCAGACCACUUCAGGCAAUUGAAGUGGUCAGCGUGCAGUGUCCCAUUUACAUUUAGUGCUGUAAUGUUAAACAUUGCAGUUCCAGAGAAACUGCAAUGUUUGCAUUGCAGCUUUAAGUCUGCCCACAGUGGCUGCCUACCAGACACUAGAGGGCUUCCUGAAUUGAAACUGACCAUUGGUCAGGUAUCUGAUGCUGGAUGCCCUCACGCUGUGCAUGAGGACAUCCAGUGUCAGAUUUUUUGAUUGAUUCAAUGGUUUCCUAUGAGGAGGCCUAAUGCGCGUGCGGCAUUUGCAACGCAUGCGGAUUAGCACCCGCUCGUCGCAGUAAAAAGAUAUGUGAGUAAAGGGUUUUUAACCCUUUAUUUACCCGGGCGGAGGCAGAGGGAGCUAUAGUGCCAGGAAGACAGCUUUGUAUUCCUGACACUUAUAGUGUCCCUUUAACCACUGGAAUAUCCAUAUUAAAGGGACAGACAGUGCUUUAUAAAUUAUGCUUGCAUAGCUUAUAGAUCAGAGGUAUUCUAGAUCUCCAGAGGAUGUGAUAUACACCACAUGCCUUUGCCUUCCUCUAAAUUUUUUGGAUUGCAAAGUUUUGUGGGGACUGCCGAUAAUUGCUGGAUUUUCUUUAUUGUGCACUCCAGGUAUAGAUCGUUUUUUAUGUCUUACAUAUGCACAGUCUGAUUGGCAGUGUCUCUUUGACCAAAUUGUCUUUUUGACAAACCCAUUUGUCCAUAUGAGCAGUACUAAUAUAUUCUGUUUAUUAAACACAUCCUUCUCUUCAUAGAUUUCUCUACAAUGAGUAUUUGUCCAAUAACUGUAAUUCUCUUGCAUGUGUUUUACAGCUUUAAUUGCAGCCUGCAAUGACUAAAUAUUUAAGUACACAUGAUGCCUCUGGACUAGAAUUCUUUUUAUGCCAGGGCUUUUUGCUCAAAGAAAUGAAGGCCGCCACCGCUGCCACAGCAUCUUAAAUUUUGGAUGCAAAAUAGAUUGUGGUUUUUUUACUCUGCCAGGAUUGCCGCCAUGGAACGUGACUGAAUAGGUUGAAAGCGAAGAACUGAAAUUGCAAGAUUGAGG